GAUGAACGCUGGCGGUAUGCUUAACACAUGCAAGUCGAACGGUCUCUUCGGAGAUAGUGGCGGACGGGUGAGUAACGCGUGAGAAUCUGGCUUCAGGUCGGGGACAACCACGGGAAACUGUGGCUAAUACCGGAUACGCCGAGAGGUGAAAGGCUUGCUGCCUGAAGAUGAGCUCGCGUCUGAUUAGCUAGUAGGUGUGGUAAAAGCGCACCUAGGCGACGAUCAGUAGCUGGUCUGAGAGGAUGAUCAGCCACACUGGGACUGAGACACGGCCCAGACUCCUACGGGAGGCAGCAGUGGGGAAUUUUCCGCAAUGGGCGAAAGCCUGACGGAGCAAUACCGCGUGAGGGAGGAAGGCUCUUGGGUUGUAAACCUCUUUUCUCAGGGAAGAAAAAAAUGACGGUACUUGAGGAAUAAGCAUCGGCUAACUCC
Molecule: ribosomal RNA, 432 nt
Filed under: uncultured cyanobacterium
Lineage: Bacteria; Bacillati; Cyanobacteriota
Description: bacterial SSU rRNA
Rfam family: Bacterial small subunit ribosomal RNA
Source: RNAcentral